CGGGACGGGUGAGUAACGCGUGAGCAACCUGCCUUGAAGUGGGGGACAACAGUUGGAAACGACUGCUAAUACCGCAUAAUAUAUUUAGAUCGCAUGGUUUAGAUAUCAAAGAUUUAUCGCUUCAAGAUGGGCUCGCGUCUGAUUAGGUAGUUGGCGGGGUAACGGCCCACCAAGCCGACGAUCAGUAGCCGGACUGAGAGGUUGAACGGCCACAUUGGGACUGAGAUACGGCCCAGACUCCUACGGAAGGCAGCAG
RNAcentral lists this ribosomal RNA (256 nucleotides) under uncultured bacterium. Its description in RNAcentral is "partial 16S ribosomal RNA". It matches the Rfam family "Bacterial small subunit ribosomal RNA", at positions 98 to 354 of the family's 1533-position model. The record is from RNAcentral.